RNAcentral lists this ribosomal RNA (468 nucleotides) under uncultured bacterium. RNAcentral's name for it is "partial 16S ribosomal RNA". It matches the Rfam family "Bacterial small subunit ribosomal RNA", at positions 28 to 507 of the family's 1533-position model. The record is from RNAcentral.
GACGAACGCUGGCGGCGUGCUUAACACAUGCAAGUCGAACGGAAAGGCCCUGCUUUUGUGGUGGGCUCGAGUGGCGAACGUGUGAGUAACACGUGAGUAACCUGCGCUUGACUUUGGGAUAACUUCAGUAAACUGGGGCUAAUACCGGAUAGGAGCGCCUGCUGCAUGGUGGGGGUUGGAAAGUUUCGGCGGUUGGGGAUGGACUCGCGGCUUAUCAGCUUGUUGGUGGGGUAGUGGCUUACGAAGGCUUUGACGGGUAGCCGGCCUGAGAGGGUGACCGGCCAGAUUGGGACUGAGCUAACGCCCAGACUCCUACGGGAGGCAGCAGUGGGGAAUAUUGCACAAUGGGCGGAAGCCUGAUGCAGCAACGCCGCGUGCGGGAUGACGGCCUUCGGGUUGUAGCCCGCAUUCGCCUGUGACGAAGCGUGAGUGACGGUAAUGGGUAAAGAAGCACCGGCUAACUACGUG